AGAUUUUAUAAUCGUAUCCUAAUCUGUAGUCAUAUAGGCACCUACCAGAUAGAAACCUUUACUGUUUCAACUUCUGCUAACAAUUCAACGUUCAAAGGACAGAUCAAUCUCCUCUCAU
Molecule: long non-coding RNA, 118 nt
Organism: Amblyraja radiata (thorny skate)
Lineage: Eukaryota; Metazoa; Chordata; Chondrichthyes; Rajiformes; Rajidae
Exons: 3
Source: RefSeq, a predicted model, not a curated record